RNAcentral lists this ribosomal RNA (440 nucleotides) under uncultured bacterium. RNAcentral describes it as "partial 16S ribosomal RNA". It matches the Rfam family "Bacterial small subunit ribosomal RNA", at positions 338 to 795 of the family's 1533-position model. The record is from RNAcentral.
CCUACGGGAGGCAGCAGUGGGGGAUAUUGCACAAUGGGGGGAACCCUGAUGCAGCGACGCCGCGUGGGUGAAGGAGCGUUUCGGAGCGUAAAGCCCUAUCGGCAGGGAAGAAGAUGACGGUACCUGACCAAGAAGCCCCGGCUAACUACGUGCCAGCAGCCGCGGGAAUACGCAGGGGGCAAGCGUUAUCCGGAUUUACUGGGGGUAAAGGGGGCGCAGACGGCAAUGCAAGCCAGGAGUGAAAGCCCGGGGCCCAACCCCGGGACUGCUUUUGGAACUGCAUGGCUGGAGUACAGGAGGGGCAGGCGGAAGUUCUAGUGUAGCGGUGAAAUGCGUAGAUAUUAGGAGGAACCCCGGUGGCGAAGGCCGCCUGCUGGACUGUGACUGACGUUGAGGCCCGAAGGCGUGGGGAGCAAACAGGAUUAGAUACCCUUGUAGUC